CAGCCGCCGCGGGAAUACGUAGGGUGCGAGCGUUAAUCGGAAUUACUGGGCGUAAAGCGUGCGCAGGCGGUUGUGUAAGACAGGUGUGAAAUCCCCGGGCUUAACCUGGGAACUGCGCUUGUGACUGCACAGCUAGAGUAUGGCAGAGGGGGGUGGAAUUCCACGUGUAGCAGUGAAAUGCGUAGAGAUGUGGAGGAACACCGAUGGCGAAGGCAGCCCCCUGGGCCAAUACUGACGCUCAUGCACGAAAGCGUGGGGAGCAAACAGGAUUAGAUACCCGUGUAGUCCCUGUCUCUUAUAC
Molecule: ribosomal RNA, 301 nt
Filed under: uncultured bacterium
Lineage: Bacteria
Description: partial 16S ribosomal RNA
Rfam family: Bacterial small subunit ribosomal RNA
Source: RNAcentral